AUUCCCGUGGUGUCGAUGCCGCAGUUGUACUGAGGGCAUGAAAUCGCCCCCCUCCAUCAGCAGCUCCCCUCCCCAGAGCAGCCACAGAGGCUGGAGAGGGUGAAGGGAGUUUCAUUGCAUAAGACAUAGCUAUCAAAACAUGCUGUAAAGACUAAACCUUCUCCCUCCACUGAUGACCAGGAAAUAUCAUGUAAGUGUUGGGAUCCUGGAAGCCUGGAUGCUGUGUUUCUGGAGGCCCAGCUUUGUCACAGGCCUGCUGAUUUGUGAGCUUCUCACAGCCCCUCUGGGUAGUGCAAGAGCAGUCGGAGCUCUGCUCAGCAGGUCCAUCCAUGACAGAGGGGAAGACUCCUGCAGACGGCCUCCACCAGCAAAAGCUCUUGAUGGAGGUCGUCCUCUGAGAAAUCAGUGCUGUGAAGGACAAGUUGGGCUCUUCCUCACGGGAUGUGGUUUGGGGAAAUCCAAUUUGUUUUGAACGCAAGCUGCCCACUUGAAGGCAACCUUAACUCCCUGAGUCCCUAAGGGGUAGUCCUGUUUUUCUGUCACAUUGCAAACUUCAGAUUCAUAGUGGAACGAUCCCAAACAGGGACUGAAGGAUCUGGUCAGGGAAAGUUUGCCCUUAAGUAAUUGAAUUCAAUAAAUGUAUACAUAACCCGAGCCCUGAGAGUGUA
This 668-nucleotide long non-coding RNA is filed under the name Anas platyrhynchos platyrhynchos (common mallard). RNAcentral describes it as "lncRNA (ENSAPLG00000019213.1)". The record is from RNAcentral. Lineage: Eukaryota; Metazoa; Chordata; Aves; Anseriformes; Anatidae.